RNAcentral lists this unclassified non-coding RNA (337 nucleotides) under soil metagenome. Its description in RNAcentral is "partial contains 5.8S ribosomal RNA, internal transcribed spacer 2, and large subunit ribosomal RNA". The stretch from base 1 to 120 matches the Rfam family "5.8S ribosomal RNA", at positions 35 to 154 of the family's 154-position model. The record is from RNAcentral.
GAUGAAGAACGUAGCGAAAUGCGAUAAGUAGUGUGAAUUGCAGAAUUCAGUGAAUCAUCGAAUCUUUGAACGCACAUUGCGCCCCUUGGUAUUCCAUGGGGCAUGCCUGUUCGAGCGUCAUUUGUACCUUCAAGCUCUGCUUGGUGUUGGGUGUUUGUCUCGCCUUUGCGUGUAGACUCGCCUUAAAACCAUUGGCAGCCGGCGUAUUGAUUUCGGAGCGCAGUACAUCUCGCGCUUUGCACUCAGAACGACGACGUCCAAAAGUACAUUUUUACACUCUUGACCUCGGAUCAGGUAGGGAUACCCGCUGAACUUGAGCAUAUCAAUAAGCGGAGGA